GCCAGCGUAGCUCAGCCGGUAGAGCAACGGUAUCGUAAACCGUAGGUCGUCGGUUCGACCCCGACCGCUGGCU
This 73-nucleotide transfer RNA is filed under the name bacterium. RNAcentral describes it as "tRNA-Thr". It matches the Rfam family "tRNA". From Rfam's summary of the family: Transfer RNA (tRNA) molecules are approximately 80 nucleotides in length. Their secondary structure includes four short double-helical elements and three loops (D, anti-codon, and T loops). The record is from RNAcentral.